Molecule: ribosomal RNA, 508 nt
Filed under: uncultured bacterium
Lineage: Bacteria
Description: partial 16S ribosomal RNA
Rfam family: Bacterial small subunit ribosomal RNA
Source: RNAcentral
AUUGAACGCUGGCGGCAUGCCUUACACAUGCAAGUCGAACGGCAGCGGGGGAGAAGCUUGCUUUUCCUGCCGGCGAGUGGCGAACGGGUGAGUAAUACAUCGGAACGAGCCCUGUAGUGGGGGAUAACUAGUCGAAAGAUUAGCUAAUACCGCAUACGACCUGAGGGUGAAAGUGGGGGACCGCAAGGCCUCAUGCUAUAGGAGCGGCCGAUGUCUGAUUAGCUAGUUGGUGGGGUAAAGGCCUACCAAGGCGACGAUCAGUAGCUGGUCUGAGAGGACGAUCAGCCAGGGUGAGACUGAGACACGGCCCAGACUCCUACGGGAGGCAGCAGUGGGGAAUUUUGGACAAUGGGCGAAAGCCUGAUCCAGCAAUGCCGCGUGUGUGAAGAAGGCCUUCGGGUUGUAAAGCACUUUUGUCCGGAAAGAAAUGGCUCUGGUUAAUACCUGGGGUCGAUGACGGUACCGGAAGAAUAAGGACCGGCUAACUACGUGCCAGCAGCCGCCGUAA